UGAUCUCUGAUGGUUCGCUCUGG
Molecule: non-coding RNA, 23 nt
Filed under: Rattus norvegicus (Norway rat)
Lineage: Eukaryota; Metazoa; Chordata; Mammalia; Rodentia; Muridae
Source: RNAcentral